CUUUGAUACCGGGGAUGCGCGGGUAUCCCCUUUUAGGUUCGGCAGUGGGCGACGGGGAACGCUCCGGCGAUCACUAGAGAGGCCGAUGCGAAGCAUGUGAACACACUAAGAACGCAUGCAAACGCUUUUUACCCAGGUUCGGGCCACCCGGAGGUGUAAAACCCUACGUCCUGCUUGUCUGAGCUAAUAUUACCAGGAGAUCGUGUGUUUACAAGUUGCUGAGGGAGGGUCCCCGGGUACCCUUCUUUUGGCUAAGUGCUACUUACUACUUUGGGCUACUGCCAGUGCAGAACUACGAGUUGGUCGAACCCUUUUCUUUUUGAACCCUUUGACCGCUGGCGGAGGUCCUCCUUUUAUAGCCAAGGGGAU
RNAcentral lists this long non-coding RNA (369 nucleotides) under Brachypodium distachyon (stiff brome). RNAcentral describes it as "long non-coding RNA (BDIS_LNC001955)". The record is from RNAcentral. Lineage: Eukaryota; Viridiplantae; Streptophyta; Magnoliopsida; Poales; Poaceae.